AAUAUGAACCGAUGGUGGCCUAAUGCAUUCUUGAUUGGCUUAAGAAUUAGCUAUUAAGUUUUUUGGUUUUCCAAGUCAUAAUAUUUUUCAGCUUCUAUUUUAAUGACCUACCUUGCCACUCAGUUCUGAGCUUUUCUUUUGUUUUUCAGCAUUAUUAUGAGUGUGUAAUCUGUGGCAAUGGUGGUGAAUUGCUCUGUUGUGACACCUGUCCCUGCACUUUUCAUCUUCAGUGCCUUAAUCCACCUCUUGAAUCCAUUGCCCCUGGAAAUUGGCAAUGUGAAAAUUGCAGUGAAGAUGCUGACCUUGUAACUCCGCUUAGGUAUCUCGUGAGCUCGAAAGGAAAUGCCCCAUCUAACCAAAAUGCUGUCAACCACAUUGGUGACAAAAAAGGUGCUGAGAAAGUGAAAGAAAUUAAAGUCUACAGAAGACUUGCGAAGAAGAAGGAAGUAGAAAAGGAGGAAGAUAAGGACGCAAGAAAAUUUACUGUGGUCUAUGGUCCUGAAUUUGCAAAUGAAGAUCAAAAGGAUAAACCUCCUGUAGAUACUUCAGGAUUGUUCAAUUGUUCGAGCAUUCAACCCAAGUCUGCUGAACAGGCUAAUAAAGAUAUGGAAAUCGACGAUAUGAAUGCAUCAAGGCCCCACCAACCAAAAGAAUCUAGCCAAAAACCAGUAGAAGAGCGUCAAGUGAUGAACAACAGUGUUUGUGCGCAUAGUCCUAACAUAAAUCAGUAUGACAGUCUUUGGAUUUCAAGGGAUGUUGUUCAGAAGUCAAUAAAGGACCAUUACUUUAAGCAGAAUAAAGGAAGGGAAAAGCAGCAGGCUCUAUACCCAGAGAAUACAGAAUCUGGCAGGGCUAGGAAAGAGAAGUUUGCUAGGCUUCGAGCAAGACAGAAACAAAAACUUGCCUUCAGGAACAGAAGCAGGGGACUGAUCCUUAGUUCAGGACUAGGUGGACAUGAACCACUUAAGUUGUAUCCAGAAAUCACCGUAUCUGAGAGAGUGCAUACUUCAGCAAAUGGCUUGAAGGAACACAUAUUACCGAAGCCACUUCUUAUGAAAGAGAAGAUGACCUUAAGUGACCAGUUGCAUUCUAAAUCUUUAGAUCAGAUAUAUGCCCAUUUGAAUUGUUUUCAGAAUCUUUCCAGCAUAAGAGACCCCAGAAAAUUGUACUACAGGCAUAUUAAAUUCGGACAGUUACCAUGUUUUUCAUUCCAUCAGGCAUCAGAUGCAAGAUUUUCAGAGAUUAACCUGAACAAUAAUAAAUUGAAGAAGCUGGUCUCUUUCUCCUUGUUUAUCAGGAUCUGCCUGGAAUAGAAAAUUAUUUACAUUUUGUUUAGUUUACUCUCUUUUUUCCCUCUCAGUAUGCAACAACUAAAUUGCUGUGUUACUUAAUUUGUAGGAUCCCCCUGCAGUACCUCAAGGAGGCCUCAUUCAUCCAAGGAGUUCAGCUUCAAACUUUUCAUCUACUCAACAAUCGAGGGAAAAUGUUGAUAGCAUGAUGUUGAAGAUGUCCAACUACUUGGGAAAAGAUGAUGGAAUGGUAGAUGUUUGGUUAGAGGAGGAACUUGAUUCUCUUUGGAUUGGCAUCCGGAGACAUGGGCAGGGAAAUUGGGAAGUCAUGCUCAGAGACCCUUUGCUGACUUUCUCCAAGCAUAAAACUACAAAUGAUCUGUCACGAAGGUGGAACAAGGAAAGACUUAAAAUCUUGAACCCUCGUGGAUCGCUCUCUAGUAUGUUCAGGGAUUCAACUGACCGAAAGAAGAACAACUCUCAAGUACUUGACGCCACCUUGCCAAUUUUGAAGGAUCAGCUGCCUUCAAGUAGGGGAAAGAGAGUUCAGAAGAACCUUCUUGUUGGUGGAUUAAUUAACGUUCCGAUGGUUAAAAUAGACUCAGAAGCAAGUGAAGACUGGAGCCAAAUUCACCAGCAUGAAGAAAAAGAACGCUCUUCAGAGGGCACAAUUUCUGAUUAGAAUUCCAUGGCGGCUUCAAGGCAGUAGCUAUGCAUGUUUCUUUAUUUAAUCAUUUACAAUACUUUAAACACAAAUGGGAGUGAAUUCUCCAUGUUAAUUCACAUUAGCAGCUACGUAGACAGGAGCUAAUUAGCUACAGCCUACCCGUGGAAUUAUGCAAAGUAUGUAAUAUUCGUAAAUGUUGGUGUUCCUUCUGCAUCCCAUUGCAGUUUCUAGGCAUAUGUGUUUAUAUGCAGGGGAUUACGCAUUUGUUUUGUCAAAUUUUGUGACAGCCAGCCG
Molecule: unclassified non-coding RNA, 2250 nt
Filed under: Hevea brasiliensis (rubber tree)
Lineage: Eukaryota; Viridiplantae; Streptophyta; Magnoliopsida; Malpighiales; Euphorbiaceae
Source: RNAcentral